UAGAUGCGAGAGUAGAGCAUAUCAAUAAGCGGAGGAAAAGAAACUAACAAGGAUUCCCCUAGUAACGGCGAGUGAAGCGGGAAGAGCUCAAAUUUGAAAUCUUCAAGGGUUCUACCUUGACGAAUUGUAGUUUAAAGAAGUGUUUUCUGUUGGAGUUUCGGUAAAAGUUCUUUGGAAUAGGACAUCAUAGAGGGUGAGAAUCCCGUAUUUGACCGUUACUUUCCAGCUGUGUGAUACACUUUCAAAGAGUCGGAUUGUUUGGGAAUGCAGUCCAAAAUGGGUGGUAAAUUUCAUCUAAAGCUAAAUAUUGGCGAGAGACCGAUAGCGAACAAGUACCGUGAGGGAAAGAUGAAAAGAACUUUGAAAAGAGAGUUAAACAGUACGUGAAAUUGUCAAAAGGGAAGCGUUUGACACCAGUGUUGUUUAGUUGAAAAUCAAUUCAAUAAUUUUUGAUUUUGAGUAGUAUUGACUUCAUCAGCUUGCUGCUUUCUUUUCAGAAAUUAUUGAAUGCACUUUUCAGUUAACAAGUCAGCAUCAAUUUCUUUUGUUGUAAAAGGGUAAGAGGAAGGUAGCUUACGCUUCGGCGUAAGUGUUUAUAGCCUUUUACCUCUGCAAUCGGAGAGAUUGAGGACAGCAGCGUAGACUCUUCGGGGUUAGAUACACUUGUGCUAAGCUAUAGCCUUGUAUAGACAACUUGUUGACUAUGCUCAGUCAUGUAGCUUACUCGCUUGUGCUAUUUUACCUACGCUUAGGAUGUUGACGCGCGUGUGUGCGUG
This 776-nucleotide ribosomal RNA is filed under the name uncultured Neocallimastigales. Its description in RNAcentral is "partial large subunit ribosomal RNA". It matches the Rfam family "Eukaryotic large subunit ribosomal RNA", at positions 22 to 615 of the family's 3401-position model. Lineage: Eukaryota; Fungi; Neocallimastigomycota; Neocallimastigomycetes; Neocallimastigales. The record is from RNAcentral.